CGAAUAGGAACAGCUCCGGACUACAGCUCCCAGCGUGAGCGACGCAGAAGACGGGUGAUUUCUGCAUUUCCAUCUGAGGUACCGGGUUCAUCUCACUAGGGAGUGCCAGACAGUGGGCGCAGGUUUGAUCUCAGUUACUCCCUUACUUGAAGAAGGCUUCGAUGAUUCCUCAUGGAGAAAUCCCAGAUACUUCUGCACAUGAUUCAGAGGUCCCUUACAACUGGCUUCAGCCUGCCUUCCAAGCCCUGUCUCUCGCCUCUCCCUUCCUUCACACUGUGCUUCAGCGAGGUAGGAAUGCUUGUGAUUCACCUUCCAGGUCAAGAUGAUUGGCCCCUCGGCCUUCACAUAUGCUGUUCCCUCUGCUGUUCCCCAUGCUGCCCCCAGGGAGCUGCCCAUCACCCGCCAGGACCUUCCUGCCCUGGGUGCACCCAUAGUGCUUUGUGCCUUUCUCUUUCUUGCCACUUGCCACAUUUUACUGUAGUUAUUUGUUUAUAAUUACAAAUAUAAACC
Molecule: long non-coding RNA, 510 nt
Filed under: Homo sapiens (human)
Lineage: Eukaryota; Metazoa; Chordata; Mammalia; Primates; Hominidae
Description: novel transcript
Source: RNAcentral